UCUCCGUAGGUGAACCUGCGGAGGGAUCAUUACCGAGUGAGGGUCCUUGUGGCCCGACCUCCAACCCCAUGUGAACCGAAACCUGUUGCUUCGGGGGCGACCCUGCCUUUGUGCGAGGCGCCCCCGGAGGCUCAUCAAACACUGCAUCUUUGCGUCGGAGUCUUAAUGAAUUUAAACAAAACUUUUAACAACGGAUCUCUUGGUUCUGGCAUCGAUGAAGAACGCAGC
RNAcentral lists this unclassified non-coding RNA (228 nucleotides) under uncultured fungus. RNAcentral's name for it is "sequence contains ITS1, 5.8S rRNA gene". The stretch from base 180 to 228 matches the Rfam family "5.8S ribosomal RNA", at positions 1 to 49 of the family's 154-position model. Lineage: Eukaryota; Fungi. The record is from RNAcentral.